This 317-nucleotide ribosomal RNA is filed under the name uncultured bacterium. RNAcentral's name for it is "bacterial SSU rRNA". It matches the Rfam family "Bacterial small subunit ribosomal RNA", at positions 28 to 351 of the family's 1533-position model. The record is from RNAcentral.
GACGAACGCUGGCGGCGUGCUUAACACAUGCAAGUCAUGGGGGCCCAGCAAUGGGCAACCGGCGAACGGGUGCGUAACACGUGAGCAACCUGCCUAUCCGCGGGGGAUAGCCGGCCCAACGGCCGGGUAAUACCGCAUACGCUCUUUCCGGGGCAUUCCGGACUGAGGAAACCUUUUAUUGGGUGGAUUGAGGGGCUCGCGGCCUAUCAGCUAGUUGGUGAGGUAACGGCUCACCAAGGCGACGACGGGUAGCUGGUCUGAGAGGAUGGCCAGCCACAUUGGGACUGAGAAACGGCCCAGACUCCUACGGGAGGCUG